AUUGAACGCUGGCGGCAUGCCUUACACAUGCAAGUCGAACGGUAACAGGUCUUCGGAUGCUGACGAGUGGCGAACGGGUGAGUAAUACAUCGGAACGUGCCCGAUCGUGGGGGAUAACGAGGCGAAAGCUUUGCUAAUACCGCAAACGAUCUACGGAUGAAAGCGGGGGAUCUUCGGACCUCGCGCGGACGGAGCGGCCGAUGGCAGAUUAGGUAGUUGGUGGGAUAACAGCUUACCAAGCCGACGAUCUGUAGCUGGUCUGAGAGGAUGAUCAGCCACACUGGGACUGAGACACGGCCCAGACUCCUACGGGAGGCAGCAGUGGGGAAUUUUGGACAAUGGGCGAAAGCCUGAUCCAGCCAUGCCGCGUGCAGGAUGAAGGCCUUCGGGUUGUAAACUGCUUUUGUACGGAACGAAAAGCCUCUUUCUAAUAAAGAGGGGUCAUGACGGUACCGGAAGAAUAAGCACCGGCUAACUACGUG
This 482-nucleotide ribosomal RNA is filed under the name uncultured bacterium. RNAcentral describes it as "partial 16S ribosomal RNA". It matches the Rfam family "Bacterial small subunit ribosomal RNA", at positions 30 to 507 of the family's 1533-position model. The record is from RNAcentral.